GCAGACGUAGCUCAGUUGGGAGAGCACCGCACCAGAUGGGCGGUAUGCGCAGGUUCGAGUCCUGCCGUCUGCACCA
RNAcentral lists this transfer RNA (76 nucleotides) under Caudoviricetes sp. RNAcentral's name for it is "tRNA-OTHER". It matches the Rfam family "tRNA". From Rfam's summary of the family: Transfer RNA (tRNA) molecules are approximately 80 nucleotides in length. Their secondary structure includes four short double-helical elements and three loops (D, anti-codon, and T loops). The record is from RNAcentral. Lineage: Duplodnaviria; Heunggongvirae; Uroviricota; Caudoviricetes.